CAAUGGACUCCAACUAGAUUCUUAAAGAGUCAGUGUUAGGUCAAUGGACUCCUACUAGAGCCUUAAGAGUCAGUGUUAGGUCAAUGGACUCCUACUAGAGCCUUAAAGAGUUAAACAUGAAUCUAUCACUUCUUUUCAACGUGACUUAAUCUUUUCAACAGUGAAAUUGUUGAAUAUUUUUGUAAAACGAACGCAAUGUGGUCAUGGCCGUCUUGCAAACGUAAAAUUAAAACGUAGAUAAAACAUUUUUUUUUUUUUUUGUGAAUUUGUGUCAUUUUAUUUAUGAUUAUGACCAUGAUCGUUACAUGAUGUUUGUAGCAUGAAUUACAUUAAUAUAUUUAUGUGCUACAGAUAUGUAUAUGGUUUUCUAUAUUUCAUUUUCAAAGCUUUACUGUAUUUAAACUUCACAGGAAAUAGCACAACAACAACAACAACAACGCCAUGAUGGUCAUCACACACAAAGCUGCAACUUUGUUUGCAAGAAGUAAAUGAAACACAAUUGACCUAAUUACCGGCUUGGCUCCACUCCUCCGCUCUCUUCACUGGUACCGGUGGCUCAUCCAGUUCUAAACAUGGUGCUCACGUACCAUGCUGUGAAUGGAUGGGGUCCAGCUUACAUCCAGGACCUGGUCCAACCCGACAUCCUGACCCGCACUCUCCGCUCUGCAUGUGAUAAACUGCUUGUUCCUCCUUACUGAGAGCAAAACACUCCACUAGAUCUCCACUCUUUGCUGUCCUGCUCCUAAAUGGUGGAAGGAGGUCUCUGAAGACAUCAGGACCGCAGAGAGCCUUCACAUCUUCAGACUACAGACACACCUCUUCACACUCUACCUCCACUAACACACUGUACACACAACUGUAGCACUUAUAUUGGGCUUAUAAUGGUUCUUAUCUACAGCAAGUUGUAAAUUGGCUUAUUUGAUGAACUUUCUUGUUUCUUGUUCUUCUGAGUUUGUUUCCUUAUGGUCGAAUGCACUUAUUGUCGCUUUGGAUAAAAGCGUCUGCUAAAUGACAUGUAAUGUAAUUUGAAAAAGUGUUACGCAUAAAUAUGAGCUUAGUGUGUAAAUCACAUAUCUUUGUCUUUAAUUUAGCCCCUCCAUCUUAUUGAGCCCAACCUUUUCCUCGUUCUAGGUCUGACUUUGCAACACACCUAAACAAUUUAGAUUGAUGAGUAACAGUACAGGUAAAAGG
Long non-coding RNA from Gasterosteus aculeatus aculeatus (three-spined stickleback), 1191 nucleotides. Lineage: Eukaryota; Metazoa; Chordata; Actinopteri; Perciformes; Gasterosteidae. The record is from Ensembl.